AUGGAAAGUUCAACACAUGUGAGACUCCGAAUGAUUCCUCAACUGCUGUCCCCCACUUGUGACAAAAAGUCUCUCGGCUGCAGCCAGGCAGGGCACAGGAAGGGUUCGGCUGCCCGAGAGUCCAGCUGUCUGCUUGAACGUCAGUCCCGGCCCAGGGCUGAGGGGUCAGCGGAGAGCGCCCCGCCGCGGCUGAGACGCCGAGCUGGGGUUCUGGACCCCGGGGCGCCGCCUGGGACUGCUUCGGGGCUGGAGAUUCCCUGGGGCCGCCCGCCACCCCGCACGGCGGCGCCCCGGGUCCCCAUCGCGCCUGGGAAGGGCCCGGGGGAGCGGCUCCGCCCGGGCCUGGAAACCGGGUCAACGCGGCUAGGGCCCAGGGCCGCCUGCGGUCCCCUGCAGGCGCCGGGAAGGGGCCAAGCGCCCGGGGCCGGGGAGGGUCAGGAUCGGCUUCCGACGGCCGCCUCCCGGCCCGCAGGGGAUAAGAAGGCGCGGGAGGAGAGCGUGCGCAGGCUACAGCCCUCCGGGAAGCCGCGCCGGGCGCCGGCACUACCCAGGGCGAGAGCGGCGCAGAGCGUGGCCACGGCUUGGAGGCGAGCGGCGGAAGGAAGGCUCCGCGGAUUGCGGGCGAGUCGCACCUGGAGCCGGCGCAGCCGUGACUACCGAGGAGUAGGCGGAGGAGACGGCGGCUGUUCCAGAGGAGGGAGUCGUCAUAACCGGCUACUGCCGCUCACCGGAAACCUUCGGCGCUGGAGCUGGGCCAGGGGGCGCCAAGGAGCAGCUGGGACACCUUGGCCAGCCGGCGCCAGGGGAGGGAUCGGGUCCCGCAGAGGCAGGACCGGGGCGACACCUCGGAGGGUCAGGGCGCGGGGAGUGGCCUCCACCCGGCAAGCGCGGCUGGGAGGGGUUCAGAGUGGGGGAACCUUCUGCUCUUCCUGGCGCUCUCCAGCGAAGGUUCGCGCGAGUCCGCCAGCUCCCUCACUAGGGCCGGAAAGACCCGCGGCGCCGGCCGAAGCCGGACCCCCAGCUCCAGCGCCGCAGCUCGCGCCUCCUGAAGCGAGAGGUUAA
RNAcentral lists this long non-coding RNA (1062 nucleotides) under Callithrix jacchus (white-tufted-ear marmoset). RNAcentral describes it as "lncRNA (ENSCJAG00000060434.2)". Lineage: Eukaryota; Metazoa; Chordata; Mammalia; Primates; Cebidae. The record is from RNAcentral.